GCAGGCGUAGCUCAAGGCAGAGCGCCCCGACUCCAACUCGGGGAGGUGCAGGUUCGACUCCUGCCGCCUGCGC
Molecule: transfer RNA, 73 nt
Filed under: Longimycelium tulufanense
Lineage: Bacteria; Bacillati; Actinomycetota; Actinomycetes; Pseudonocardiales; Pseudonocardiaceae
Description: tRNA-Trp
Rfam family: tRNA
About the family: Transfer RNA (tRNA) molecules are approximately 80 nucleotides in length.
Source: RNAcentral